Molecule: long non-coding RNA, 749 nt
Organism: Acanthochromis polyacanthus (spiny chromis)
Lineage: Eukaryota; Metazoa; Chordata; Actinopteri; Pomacentridae
Exons: 4
Source: RefSeq, a predicted model, not a curated record
AGGACCAGACUUUUAUUAGUAUUAUUAUUCAUUGUUAUUCCAAAGAAUGAACCGUUCCAGACAUGUUCCAGAUCAGUUUAAUCCGUGUUUGAAUGGAAAACUGGAAACUUUUAGAAACUAAAUCAACACAGAUUUCAUUUAAAGCUGAGAAUCUUCCAGGUUACUUUUAUUCAGAUGACAAUCUAAGAUUCAGUUUAAAAAUAAUGACAGAGAAACAGAAUGAUCCGAGAACUGUUGGUGAUCGAUUAUUGAUGAGGUGAUUGAUUACUGAUGAAGUGAUUGAUUACUGAUGAGGUGAUCGAUUAUUGAUGAGGUGAUCGAUUAUUGAUGAGGUGAUCGAUUAUUGAUGAGGUGAUCGAUUGCUGAUGAGGUGAUCGAUUGCUGAUGAGGUGAUCGAUUGCUGAUGAGGUGAUGGAUUACUGAUGAGGUGAUCGAUUACUGAUGAGGUGAUCGAUUACUGAUGAGGUGAUCGAUUACUGAUGAGGUGAUCGAUUAUUGAUGAGGUGAUCGAUUACUGAUGAGGUGAUCGAUUACUGAUGAGGUGAUCGAUUAUUGAUGAGGUGAUCGAUUACUGAUGAGGUGAUCGAUUACUGAUGAGGUGAUCGAUUAUUGAUGAGGUGAUCGAUUAUUGAUGAGGUGAUUGAUUACUGGUGAUUGAUUACUGAUGAGGUGAUCGAUUAUUGAUGAGGUGAUUGAUUAUUGAUGAGGUGAUUGACUGAACUCCCACCUCGGCCCACUGAGCGUCUCCU